This 381-nucleotide ribosomal RNA is filed under the name Engaewa similis. RNAcentral describes it as "partial 16S large subunit ribosomal RNA". It matches the Rfam family "Bacterial large subunit ribosomal RNA", at positions 1959 to 2540 of the family's 2925-position model. Lineage: Eukaryota; Metazoa; Arthropoda; Malacostraca; Decapoda; Parastacidae. The record is from RNAcentral.
GCAUAAUCACUAGUUUUUUAAUUGAAAGCUUGAAUGAAGGGUUGGACGAGAAGUUAGCUGUCUUUAUUAAAAAAAUAGAAUUUAACUUUUAAGUGAGAGGGCUUAAAUAUUUUAGGGGGACGAUAAGACCCUAUAAAAUUUAACAAUUGGGGAAUUAAUGGGGAGUAGGAUAAAGUUAAAGGUACUGUUAAAGAAUGUGUUGUUUUGUUGGGGCGACGGGAAUAUAAGUGAAUUAACUGUUCUUUAAUUAAAUUUCAUUAAUGUUUGUAGUUUGUGGUCCUUGUUAGAGAUAAGAAGAGAAAAUUACUUUAGGGAUAACAGCGUAAUUUUUUUUGAGAGUUCCUAUCGACAGAAAAGUUUGCGACCUCGAUGUUGAAUUAA